This 45-nucleotide non-coding RNA is filed under the name Schistosoma mansoni. The record is from RNAcentral. Lineage: Eukaryota; Metazoa; Platyhelminthes; Trematoda; Strigeidida; Schistosomatidae.
AUCCAGUUGACGAGUCCCAAAUGGGACGAAACGCACGUCUUGGAU